AAUUUGGCCCUGAAGUUUCUGAGGAUAAGAAUUUUGUAAAAGAUUACAAAAGUGUACAAAAAAUUGCAAAAAAAUGACUUCAAAGGGCAAUAAUCCUUAUGGGGUCAAUUAAUAAGAAUGUGUAUCUCCAAGGAACUGAGACAAAUAUCCAGCAAAUAUCCAACAUGAGGCGAAUAAUGGAAAUAAAAACGGACAAAUACAAAUAAUAUGGAGAAUGGAGUUGGUCAUUUUAGAGAAACUUAACCCAUAAAGUUAU
Molecule: long non-coding RNA, 256 nt
Filed under: Mytilus galloprovincialis (Mediterranean mussel)
Lineage: Eukaryota; Metazoa; Mollusca; Bivalvia; Mytilida; Mytilidae
Source: RNAcentral